RNAcentral lists this non-coding RNA (35 nucleotides) under Trypanosoma brucei brucei. The record is from RNAcentral. Lineage: Eukaryota; Euglenozoa; Kinetoplastea; Trypanosomatida; Trypanosomatidae.
GAUGACCACCGAGAUUCUAUUCGACAUGAAGAUUG